This 447-nucleotide ribosomal RNA is filed under the name uncultured bacterium. RNAcentral's name for it is "partial 16S ribosomal RNA". It matches the Rfam family "Bacterial small subunit ribosomal RNA", at positions 330 to 794 of the family's 1533-position model. The record is from RNAcentral.
UCCAGACUCCUACGGGAGGCAGCAGUGGGGAAUAUUGCACAAUGGGGGAAACCCUGAUGCAGCGACGCCGCGUGAGCGAUGAAGUAUUUCGGUAUGUAAAGCUCUAUCAGCAGGGAAGAAAAUGACGGUACCUGACUAAGAAGCCCCGGCUAACUACGUGCCAGCAGCCGCGGUAAUACGUAGGGGGCAAGCGUUAUCCGGAUUUACUGGGUGUAAAGGGAGCGUAGACGGCGGUGCAAGCCAGAUGUGAAAGCCCGGGGCUCAACCCCGGGACUGCAUUUGGAACUGUGCUGCUAGAGUGCCGGAGAGGCAGGCGGAAUUCCUAGUGUAGCGGUGAAAUGCGUAGAUAUUAGGAGGAACACCAGUGGCGAAGGCGGCCUGCUGGACGAUGACUGACGUUGAGGCUCGAAAGCGUGGGGAGCAAACAGGAUUAGAUACCCGCGUAUC